Molecule: ribosomal RNA, 443 nt
Filed under: uncultured bacterium
Lineage: Bacteria
Description: bacterial SSU rRNA
Rfam family: Bacterial small subunit ribosomal RNA
Source: RNAcentral
ACUCCUACGGGAGGCAGCAGCAGGGAAUAUUGCACAAUGGGCGAAAGCCUGAUGCAGCGACACCGCGUGCGGGAUGACGGCCUUCGGGUUGUAAACCGCUUUCAGGAGGGAAGAAAAUGACGGUACCUCCAGAAGAAGCUCCGGCCAACUACGUGCCAGCAGCCGCGGUAAUACGUAGGGAGCAAACGUUGUCCGGAUUUAUUGGGCGUAAAGGGCUCGUAGGCGGUUCAACAAGUCGGUCGUGAAAGCCCGGAGCUCAACUCCGGGACGCCGGUCGAAACUGUUGUGACUAGAGUUCGGUAGAGGUGAGUGGAAUUCUCGGUGUAGCGGUGGAAUGCGCAGAUAUCGAGAGGAACACCAUUAGCGAAGGCGGCUCACUGGGCCGAUACUGACGCUGAGGAGCGAAAGCGUGGGGAGCAAACAGGAUUAGAUACCCUGGUAGA